This 148-nucleotide signal recognition particle RNA is filed under the name Chlorocebus sabaeus (green monkey). RNAcentral's name for it is "Metazoan signal recognition particle RNA". It matches the Rfam family "Metazoan signal recognition particle RNA". Rfam says of the family: The signal recognition particle (SRP) is a universally conserved ribonucleoprotein. Lineage: Eukaryota; Metazoa; Chordata; Mammalia; Primates; Cercopithecidae. The record is from Rfam by way of RNAcentral.
GCCAGGUGUGGUGGUGCACGCCUGUAAUCCCAGCUACUCAGGAGGCUGAGGCAGGAGAAUUGCUUGAACCCAGGAAGCAGGGGUUGCAGUGAGCCAAGAUUAUGCCACUGCACUCCAACCUGGGUGACAGAGUGAGACUCUGCCUCAA